RNAcentral lists this ribosomal RNA (253 nucleotides) under uncultured bacterium. RNAcentral describes it as "partial 16S ribosomal RNA". It matches the Rfam family "Bacterial small subunit ribosomal RNA", at positions 524 to 776 of the family's 1533-position model. The record is from RNAcentral.
UACGGAGGGGGCAAGCGUUAUCCGGAUUCACUGGGUUUAAAGGGUGCGUAGGUGGGUCUGUAAGUCCGUGGUGAAAUCUCCGAGCUUAACUUGGAAACUGCCAUGGAUACUAUAGAUCUUGAAUACUGUGGAGGUUAGCGGAAUAUGUCAUGGAGCGGUGAAGUGCUUAGAUAUGACAUAGAACACCAAUUGCGAAGGCAGCUGGCUACACAAAUAUUGACACUGAUGCACGAAAGCGUGGGGAUCAAACAGG